GCUGAGGACGAAAAUGUGGUUGUGUCUCUGCUUAGGAAUGUAGUUUAGGAAAAGGAGAUUUAGAAUUACUAUUAAAACUAGGAAGUAUAUUUCAAACGCAAGUUUCUUGGGAAGGUAUCUGCUGAACCAAAGGAUAGUUUGGAGGCAGAAGUGAGACCAAAAUAUUUCUUCGAGAUAAUUUUAAUCCCAAAGAUCCAAAGAUGGGAAGAGAAAGACCACCACCCCAAAUCAUCAUGGUAAAAUUAAUUAAAGCAAGCUUUUUUAUUCGUG
This is a long non-coding RNA of Mastomys coucha (southern multimammate mouse), 270 nucleotides long. RefSeq lists it as uncharacterized. The record is from RefSeq and is a predicted model, not a curated record. NCBI's taxonomy places the organism in Eukaryota, Metazoa, Chordata, Mammalia, Rodentia, Muridae. The transcript has 2 exons.